GUGGGGAAUAUUGGUCAAUGGGGGAAACCCUGAACCAGCAACGCCGCGUGAAGGAAGAAGGCUUUCGGGUUGUAAACUUCUUUGACAGGGGACGAAAGCAAUGACGGUACCCUGAAAACAAGCCACGGCUAACUACGUGCCAGCAGCCGCGGUAAUACGUAGGUGGCGAGCGUUGUCCGGAUUUACUGGGUGUAAAGGGCGUGUAGGCGGGGCGGUAAGUCAGAUGUGAAAUGUAGGGGCUCAACCCCUGAAUUGCAUUUGAAACUAUCGUUCUUGAGUGAUGGAGAGGCAGGCGGAAUUCCGUGUGUAGCGGUGAAAUGCGUAGAUAUACGGAGGAACACCAGUGGCGAAGGCGGCCUGCUGGACAUUAACUGACGCUGAGGCGCGAAAGCGUGGGGAGCAAACAGGAUUAGAUACCCGUGUAGUCC
Molecule: ribosomal RNA, 428 nt
Filed under: uncultured bacterium
Lineage: Bacteria
Description: partial 16S ribosomal RNA
Rfam family: Bacterial small subunit ribosomal RNA
Source: RNAcentral